This is a long non-coding RNA of Trematomus bernacchii (emerald rockcod), 1597 nucleotides long. RefSeq lists it as uncharacterized. The record is from RefSeq and is a predicted model, not a curated record. Lineage: Eukaryota; Metazoa; Chordata; Actinopteri; Perciformes; Nototheniidae. The transcript is spliced from 3 exons.
CAGGGAAAAAGAGGCUGCCGUGUCAGAGGCAGGAUCACAAUAGAAUUCGGUUCGCUGUUAUCCGAUUACCAGCGUCCUGAGAGGCUUUCACAGGCCCAUCCAUCAAGACUAAGGGGUUGAGGGAGAGCCUCUGCAAUGCUGCUGCAGCGAUGGAAAGCACUGAAGAAAUCAGGGUUAUUAAAAGGUGGCGUAAACGGAGCCAAUCCAGUGUUCUGUUUUGGAGUUACAUUGGGGUUAAAGUGAUGAUCAUAAAGCAGCCAGCGGUGACUGAUAUGCAAGGUGACACCCGCUGCCUUUGGAUGAGGUGAUUAGCCUGUGUUUUCUAGGUGAGUUUUGUCACAUUAGUGCUGGUUAGGCAGGUUUGAGCAGAUGCACAGUCUCAGAUCUCCACCUCCGCUCACCACUGUCUAGCACUGAGUUACUUCAAACGCACUGCUCUCCUACAACUGUACAGCAUGUAUUGACUUAAUUUGGCUUUUUUUUCAGACCAGAGUUAACAUCUUAACAACAAUUGUCUGUGAUCUUAAAAGAAUAUUUGAAGUCAAUCUGUUUUAGCUCACUGGAUAAAUCAUCACAAAACCUAAGAGUUGGAUUCAAACCCUUAUUUGGGGAUAUUUUGACAAUAUGGGAAACAUGCUUUCUUGUUGCGAUAACAUUUUAAGGUACUAUUCUCAUUUGUGUGCGUCAAAUAUGAAGCUUAAUCCAGCAGUUAGCUAACUUAGCAUUAACACUGAAAAAAGCACUGAAAACAGCUCUCCAUAAAGUUAGAAAACAAAUUAACACAUUUGAUGUACAAGAAACCACAAUCCUUGUUUUACGGAGAGUUUUGUGCCAAAAUAUUACUAAAGGACCAGUUGCCAGGUAACCAGCUGAAACUUCAGGAAGUUAAACCGGUGAAUUGUUAUUUUUGUAUUAAGUGUUGAACUCCUUUAAGCUCCUUGGGAGUUGUAAAAAAGCAUUGAUCAAAUAAUGAUGUUGCUGGGAACUGUGUAUUCAGAGUCUGGCCUCUAUGUUACGUACAAGGCUGAGAAAUGUUGAGUGUAUAUUAUGAGAACAGGAUUUCCCCUCUUUAAGUGAAAGUGCUGAUCCAGUUGCUUAUGUCAGCUGGCUGUUAAUAGACAUCCUGCAGAACGCGGCCUCUUUAUCAGGCUCCUAGCAGGAGUUUACAUUAUGACGUCAUUACACCUAUCAGAUCUGUUGAUACAGCAGCACACUCCCACUAUUACAUUGUUUCACAGAGCUGAGGACCAGGCUAUUCUUAUUUUAUUGGCUCUAUUUGAAACCCCUUUAGACAUAUGAAUGCCCCUGAAACUGUAUUCAUGCUCUAUUGAUAGUUAAAGACAAUUUUGAGGUACUUCCAUUUUCUGUUACUUUAUAAUUAUUUUCUCAACUGCAUUUCAGAGGGACAAUAUCAGACUUUUACAUUAUUAGUUACCUUUAAGAUUUUCCUUACACAACAUGUAAACAGCACUUAUGAAUUCAACUUCCCCAAGGUAAUUAAAGUUGGCUCCAGUACUGCUGACAUGGUUAUUACAUUACAUCACAUUGCAUUUCAUUUAGCUGACGCUUUUAUCCAAAGCGACUUAUAAUAAGUGCA